UACGUAGGGUGCAAGCGUUGUCCGGAAUCAUUGGGCGUAAAGCGCGCGUAGGUGGCUUCGUAAGUCCGUUGUGAAAGUCAAAGGCUCAACCUUUGAAUGCCGAUGGAUACUGCGAAGCUAGAGUACGGAAGAGGCGAGUGGAAUUCCUGGUGUAGCGGUGGAAUGCGCAGGAUACUCAGGAGGAACCACCAAUAGCGAAGGCAGCUCGCUGG
RNAcentral lists this ribosomal RNA (212 nucleotides) under uncultured bacterium. Its description in RNAcentral is "partial 16S ribosomal RNA". It matches the Rfam family "Bacterial small subunit ribosomal RNA", at positions 524 to 732 of the family's 1533-position model. The record is from RNAcentral.